RNAcentral lists this small nuclear RNA (96 nucleotides) under Neogale vison (American mink). Lineage: Eukaryota; Metazoa; Chordata; Mammalia; Carnivora; Mustelidae. The record is from RNAcentral.
GUUCUCACUUUCGUAGCACAGGUACUAAAAUUGGAACGAUAAAGAGAAGAUUAGCAUGGCCCCUGCACAAGGAUGACACGUAAAAAAGAUAUCUAU